Lepisosteus oculatus (spotted gar) is the source of this 903-nucleotide non-coding RNA. The record is from RefSeq and is a predicted model, not a curated record. Lineage: Eukaryota; Metazoa; Chordata; Actinopteri; Semionotiformes; Lepisosteidae.
CGGGAAUUCUUCCCGUUUUCAAAUCCGGCGCCUUCGGGUUCCUCCGUGACGGUGUCAUGUUUCUGGACUGACAGAAACAACCGUCACCCAGGCGAGGUCUAGCCCCGGCCCCUCCAGCCCCUCUGUGUGUCCCGGCCGCGCUGCGGCGCAGGAGCGCCAAGGAACAGGACUAUAUUUGGGUAAGGACGGCUCUCCGGUAUGCGCCCGGAGCGGGGCACAGAGCCGCACACCCACCGCUCCGGCGGGCGUUGCAGUACACCGUCCUGCAAGGAGAAGGAGGGCAGCCCCGGAACUCCUACACCAAUUCUUUACCUGUAAGCCAUCUAAUUUGAUUUGAUCACCUCGAUCCAAAACCACCGAAAGGGGGAUUGCAUUCUUCACCCGCUGUUUUCGUUUUCGCUGAAAGUCUUCCAACUCGUCUCACGUCUUGUCCCUUGCGCGAAGCGGUCUCGGAAUACCCAGUUUUCGCCUCAGCUGGGUUAUUUCUUCGGAGCAGGACUUGCUGCUGUGUUCCCGGGAGGUGUUGUAGUGACAGACCGUGAUCUUACAGGCUGUGACGCUUCCUCGUAUCGAGGAACUAUUCGCCGGUAUCGUUUUCUUGGGAUCCGGAGAACCCAUUCUGUUUGAUCCUGGGAGAGCCUGGAGGUUUUGGGUGCCGUGGGCCAGGGAUACCUGGUGGGGAUCGUCCUCGGAUCCAGCCCUGUGCCCUGCCUGCCUCCCCCCCUCAACUGGGGGCCAUGGUCCCUCGGCCCUCAUGAGCUCUACCAUGUGGUACAUCAUGCAGAGCGUCCAGAGCAAGUACUCGCUGUCGGAGAGGCUGAUCCGCACCAUCGCCGCCAUCCGGUCCUUCCCGCAUGACAACGUGGAGGACCUCAUCCGCAGGGUAAGCAGGAUCUCCGCCCC